UUAAUAAGUCAGUAGUGAAAUCCUGCAGCUUAACUGUAGAAUUGCUAUUGAUACUGUUAAUCUUGAGUACAGUUGAGGUAGNCGGAAUGUAUGAUGUAGCGGUGAAAUGCUUAGAUAUCAUACAGAACACCAAUUACGAAGGCAGCUUACUAAACUGUAACUGACGCUGAGGCACGAAAGCGUGGGGAGCGAACAGGAUUAGAUACCCUGGUAGUCCACGCUGUAAACGAUGAUCACUCGCUGUUGGCAAUACAUCGUCAGUGGCUGAGCAAAAGCAUUAAGUGAUCCACCUGGGGAGUACGUCGGCAACGACGAAACUCAAAGGAAUUGACGGGGGCCCGCACAAGCGGUGGAACAUGUGGUUUAAUUCGAUGAUACGCGAGGAACCUUACCUGGGCUUAAAUGCAGAACGACGGUUCCCGAAAGGGAUCCUUCUUCGGACGGACUGCAAGGUGCUGCAUGGUUGUCGUCAGCUCGUGCCGUGAGGUGUCGGGUUAAGUCCCAUAACGAGCGCAACCCCUAUUGUUAGUUGCCAGCGAGUAAUGUCGGGGACUCUAACGAAACUGCCGGUGUAAACCGUGAGGAAGGUGGGGAUGACGUCAAAUCAGCACGGCCCUUAUGUCCAGGGCUACACACGUGUUACAAUGGUCGGUACAGAGGGCAGCUACUUGGCGACAAGUUGCGAAUCUCUAAAACCGGCCUUAGUUCGGAUUGAAGUCUGCAACUCGACUUCAUGAAGCUGGAAUCGCUAGUAAUCGCGCAUCAGCCAUGGCGCGGUGAAUACGUUCCCGGGCCUUGUACACACCGCCCGUCAAGCCAUGGAAGCUGGGGGUACAUAAA
Molecule: ribosomal RNA, 840 nt
Filed under: uncultured organism
Description: bacterial SSU rRNA
Rfam family: Bacterial small subunit ribosomal RNA
Source: RNAcentral